GACGAACGCUGGCGGCGUGCUUAACACAUGCAAGUCGAACGGUCCUGUUUUUGAAGCGCUUCGGCGUGGAGGGAGCGGGUUAGUGGCGCACGGGUGAGUAAUGCGCGAGGACCUGCCCGCGGGAGGGGGACAGCAGUUGGAAACGGCUGGUAGAUACCCCGUAAGCCGGGAGGUAAAAGGGCGGAGACGCCCGCCUGCGGAUGGACUCGCGUCCUAUCAGCUAGUUGGUGAGGCAACGGCUCACCAAGGCGACGACGGGUAGCCGGCCUGAGAGGGUGUCCGGCCACACUGGAACUGAGACACGGUCCAGACUCCUACGGGAGGCCAGCAGUGGGGAAUUUUGGGCAAUGGGGAGACCCUGACCCAGCGACGCCGCGUGAGGGACGAAGGCCCUUGGGUCGUAAACCGUCUUUUGCUAGGGGAAGAAGAAGAUGACGGUACCUUGCGAACAAGUACCCGGCUAACUACGUGCCAGCAGCCGCGGUAAACGUAGCGUG
This 497-nucleotide ribosomal RNA is filed under the name uncultured bacterium. Its description in RNAcentral is "bacterial SSU rRNA". It matches the Rfam family "Bacterial small subunit ribosomal RNA", at positions 28 to 534 of the family's 1533-position model. The record is from RNAcentral.